This 804-nucleotide ribosomal RNA is filed under the name Euplotes focardii. RNAcentral's name for it is "partial Bacterial small subunit ribosomal RNA". It matches the Rfam family "Bacterial small subunit ribosomal RNA", at positions 240 to 1072 of the family's 1533-position model. The record is from RNAcentral. Lineage: Eukaryota; Ciliophora; Spirotrichea; Euplotida; Euplotidae.
AUGAUUUACUUUCUAGGUUAAAUUUUGACUAAGUCAGUUAAUAAUCCUUAGUUAGAUUGAGAGAUUAUCUAAUCACAUGGGGAAUGAAGAGGGCCCCACCAUCGGCAGCAGUGGAGAGUAUUGGUCAAUGAGGUGUUUCCUUGAACCAGCGCGUUGCGGGGGUGAUAGUUUUUUUUAAACAAAGACGGCUAAGGUAGCUGUAAAGCCUAUUCGCAGAUCAAAAAGAAAGAUUAUAUUUGAGGAGAACUCCGGGCUAACAACGUGCCAGCAGCUGCGGUAAUACGUUGACGGAGAAGCGUUACUCGUCGUGAUUGGGUGUAAAAACGGCUAGGUAGUUUAUUAGGUUUUUUUUUAAAAAAGCUGAUUUGAUGGUUUUUAGAGGAAAUUGAUAAUACUUGGAGUACACGGACGUAUACGAAAUUAUAAUUGGAGCAGUAAAAUGCUUAGAUAAUUAUGGAAUCUCCUGUAGCGAUGCGGUAAGCGACGUGUACUUGACACUUAACCGUUAAAGUACGAGUAUCGAAUAGGAUUUGAGACCCUAGUAGUUCGUACCCUGAAUUAUGAAUGUCUAUUUGUCAAGUUGAUUAACGUUUGAACAUUCUGCCUGAAGAUUAAAGCCGCAAGGGUAAAAUUUAAAAAGAUUGGCGGGAGUUUAUAUAAAUGGUGGAACAUGUGGUUUAAUUUGAUAAUCCGCGUGAAACCUUACCAGUGUAAUUCGCUUUAAGACUUAGUAAAUUGCUGCUCUUUUUUAACGAUAGUCUCCGUUUAGGUACUGCAUGGCUGUCGUCAGUUUGUUAUGUGAGU